GGGUUGUGAGGUUAAGCGACUAAGCGUACACGGUGGAUGCCCUGGCAGUCAGAGGCGAUGAAGGACGUGCUAAUCUGCGAUAAGCGUCGGUAAGGUGAUAUGAACCGUUAUAACCGGCGAUUUCCGAAUGGGGAAACCCAGUGUGUUUCGACACACUAUCAUUAACUGAAUCCAUAGGUUAAUGAGGCGAACCGGGGGAACUGAAACAUCUAAGUACCCCGAGGAAAAGAAAUCAACCGAGAUUCCCCCAGUAGCGGCGAGCGAACGGGGAGCAGCCCAGAGCCUGAAUCAGUAUGUGUGUUAGUGGAAGCGUCUGGAAAGGCGCGCGAUACAGGGUGACAGCCCCGUACACAAAAAUGCACAUGCUGUGAGCUCGAUGAGUAGGGCGGGACACGUGGUAUCCUGUCUGAAUAUGGGGGGACCAUCCUCCAAGGCUAAAUACUCCUGACUGACCGAUAGUGAACCAGUACCGUGAGGGAAAGGCGAAAAGAACCCCGGCGAGGGGAGUGAAAAAGAACCUGAAACCGUGUACGUACAAGCAGUGGGAGCACGCUUAGGCGUGUGACUGCGUACCUUUUGUAUAAUGGGUCAGCGACUUAUAUUCUGUAGCAAGGUUAACCGAAUAGGGGAGCCGAAGGGAAACCGAGUCUUAACUGGGCGUUAAGUUGCAGGGUAUAGACCCGAAACCCGGUGAUCUAGCCAUGGGCAGGUUGAAGGUUGGGUAACACUAACUGGAGGACCGAACCGACUAAUGUUGAAAAAUUAGCGGAUGACUUGUGGCUGGGGGUGAAAGGCCAAUCAAACCGGGAGAUAGCUGGUUCUCCCCGAAAGCUAUUUAGGUAGCGCCUCGUGAAUUCAUCUCCGGGGGUAGAGCACUGUUUCGGCAAGGGGGUCAUCCCGACUUACCAACCCGAUGCAAACUGCGAAUACCGGAGAAUGUUAUCACGGGAGACACACGGCGGGUGCUAACGUCCGUCGUGAAGAGGGAAACAACCCAGACCGCCAGCUAAGGUCCCAAAGUCAUGGUUAAGUGGGAAACGAUGUGGGAAGGCCCAGACAGCCAGGAUGUUGGCUUAGAAGCAGCCAUCAUUAAAGAAAGCGUAAUAGCUCACUGGUCGAGUCGGCCUGCGCGGAAGAUGUAACGGGGCUAAACCAUGCACCGAAGCUGCGGCAGCGACGCUGAUGCGUUGUUGGGUAGGGGAGCGUUCUGUAAGCCUGUGAAGGUGUGCUGUGAGGCAUGCUGGAGGUAUCAGAAGUGCGAAUGCUGACAUAAGUAACGAUAAAGCGGGUGAAAAGCCCGCUCGCCGGAAGACCAAGGGUUCCUGUCCAACGUUAAUCGGGGCAGGGUGAGUCGACCCCUAAGGCGAGGCCGAAAGGCGUAGUCGAUGGGAAACAGGUUAAUAUUCCUGUACUUGGUGUUACUGCGAAGGGGGGACGGAGAAGGCUAUGUUGGCCGGGCGACGGUUGUCCCGGUUUAAGCGUGUAGGCUGGUUUUCCAGGCAAAUCCGGAAAAUCAAGGCUGAGGCGUGAUGACGAGGCACUACGGUGCUGAAGCAACAAAUGCCCUGCUUCCAGGAAAAGCCUCUAAGCAUCAGGUAACAUCAAAUCGUACCCCAAACCGACACAGGUGGUCAGGUAGAGAAUACCAAGGCGCUUGAGAGAACUCGGGUGAAGGAACUAGGCAAAAUGGUGCCGUAACUUCGGGAGAAGGCACGCUGAUAUGUAGGUGAAGUCCCUCGCGGAUGGAGCUGAAAUCAGUCGAAGAUACCAGCUGGCUGCAACUGUUUAUUAAAAACACAGCACUGUGCAAACACGAAAGUGGACGUAUACGGUGUGACGCCUGCCCGGUGCCGGAAGGUUAAUUGAUGGGGUUAGCGCAAGCGAAGCUCUUGAUCGAAGCCCCGGUAAACGGCGGCCGUAACUAUAACGGUCCUAAGGUAGCGAAAUUCCUUGUCGGGUAAGUUCCGACCUGCACGAAUGGCGUAAUGAUGGCCAGGCUGUCUCCACCCGAGACUCAGUGAAAUUGAACUCGCUGUGAAGAUGCAGUGUACCCGCGGCAAGACGGAAAGACCCCGUGAACCUUUACUAUAGCUUGACACUGAACAUUGAGCCUUGAUGUGUAGGAUAGGUGGGAGGCUUUGAAGUGUGGACGCCAGUCUGCAUGGAGCCGACCUUGAAAUACCACCCUUUAAUGUUUGAUGUUCUAACGUUGACCCGUAAUCCGGGUUGCGGACAGUGUCUGGUGGGUAGUUUGACUGGGGCGGUCUCCUCCUAAAGAGUAACGGAGGAGCACGAAGGUUGGCUAAUCCUGGUCGGACAUCAGGAGGUUAGUGCAAUGGCAUAAGCCAGCUUGACUGCGAGCGUGACGGCGCGAGCAGGUGCGAAAGCAGGUCAUAGUGAUCCGGUGGUUCUGAAUGGAAGGGCCAUCGCUCAACGGAUAAAAGGUACUCCGGGGAUAACAGGCUGAUACCGCCCAAGAGUUCAUAUCGACGGCGGUGUUUGGCACCUCGAUGUCGGCUCAUCACAUCCUGGGGCUGAAGUAGGUCCCAAGGGUAUGGCUGUUCGCCAUUUAAAGUGGUACGCGAGCUGGGUUUAGAACGUCGUGAGACAGUUCGGUCCCUAUCUGCCGUGGGCGCUGGAGAACUGAGGGGGGCUGCUCCUAGUACGAGAGGACCGGAGUGGACGCAUCACUGGUGUUCGGGUUGUCAUGCCAAUGGCACUGCCCGGUAGCUAAAUGCGGAAGAGAUAAGUGCUGAAAGCAUCUAAGCACGAAACUUGCCCCGAGAUGAGUUCUCCCUGACCCUUUAAGGGUCCUGAAGGAACGUUGAAGACGACGACGUUGAUAGGCCGGGUGUGUAAGCGCAGCGAUGCGUUGAGCUAACCGGUACUAAUGAACCGUGAGGCUUAACCUUACAACGCCGAAGGUGUUU
Molecule: ribosomal RNA, 2930 nt
Filed under: Escherichia coli
Lineage: Bacteria; Pseudomonadati; Pseudomonadota; Gammaproteobacteria; Enterobacterales; Enterobacteriaceae
Description: 23S ribosomal RNA
Rfam family: Bacterial large subunit ribosomal RNA
Source: RNAcentral